RNAcentral lists this ribosomal RNA (433 nucleotides) under uncultured bacterium. RNAcentral's name for it is "partial 16S ribosomal RNA". It matches the Rfam family "Bacterial small subunit ribosomal RNA", at positions 29 to 507 of the family's 1533-position model. The record is from RNAcentral.
AACGAACGCUGGCGGCAUGCCUAACACAUGCAAGUCGAACGAGACCUUCGGGUCUAGUUGCGCACGGGUGCGUAACGCGUGGGAACCUGCCCUUAGGUUCGGAAUAACUCCCCGAAAGGGGUGCUAAUACCGGAUAAUGUCUUCGGACCAAAGAUUUAUCGCCUUUGGAUGGGCCCGCGUUGGAUUAGCUAGUUGGUAGGGUAAAAGCCUACCAAGGCGACGAUCCAUAGCUGGUCUGAGAGGAUGAUCAGCCACACUGGGACUGAGACACGGCCCAGACCCCGACGGGAGGGAGCAGUAGGGAAUAUUGGACGAUGGGCGAAAGCCUGAUCAAGCAAUGCCGCGUGAGUGAUGAAGGCCUUAGGGUUGUAAAGCUCUUUUACCCGGGAUGAUAAUGACAGUACCGGGAGAAUAAGCUCCGGCUAACUCCGUG